ACCAAAUAGGUGUAAUACUCUAUGUCAUGUGCUCAGGGUUAGCAUUCUCAGUGUAUAGCGUAUCGAAUGUGUCUUGCAUUUUUUUUUGGGAGGGGGGGGGUCCCUUCCCGUCUUAUUUAGCUGGAGCCAGGGUUAUAGAUCUGCUCCGGAUCUAAUCGUAGUCGGUUACAAGGAAUCAAACUGAAUCCUAGUACAAGUUAUCUCUUUACAUAUUUAAACCGAUCAUAUCUCUAUCCCUAUCUCUUCGUGCCGAUGCUUCGUCUUGCUCUACACAUCUUUGCCUACCAUUUGGGUGGGCCGUGCUACCCCCUUGGUGGGUGGUCAGGCCCAUCCAAAUGGUACUUGGGGAUCAUAUCCCCCACAACGCUUCAUCAGAUCAAGGGUUUCACGAUAGACUAAGUCCUUAGAGGCGAAGAAGGUGCAGAGGACAUCAUGGGGUGGAGAGGCAGCACAUAUUGCGAGGUUAGGCGGGGCGGAUUGGGAAUCAAGGUCCUGUAAGAAAAUAUACAUAAGAAGGGUCGCAACCUCAUUGUGGAGAGCAUGGGCGGGUGCAAAUCCUUGUACACCUAGAUGGCUAUGAGGACAACAAGUAGAGUGAGGGAGACCUAUGCUAUAAUCUUGAAAGGAUCAGAAAUGCCACCUCUAGGGUGGGCGGGGCAGUGUGAAUAGGUAAAUCAUGCAAUUUACAAAAACUAAGUUGACUGUCACCAAACCGGCUAGGUCGGGCUAGGUCGAUUUUGGGUAGGUAAACUCAAUGAGAUAUGUAUGAGUGCGACAUAUCUAUGAGUUCUAGCACAAACCAAACUUGUAGAUAUGCUUCUGUAGAUGAUUUUCA
Molecule: long non-coding RNA, 835 nt
Filed under: Setaria viridis
Lineage: Eukaryota; Viridiplantae; Streptophyta; Magnoliopsida; Poales; Poaceae
Description: long non-coding RNA (SVIR_LNC000884)
Source: RNAcentral